CCUUCGAUAGCUCAGUUGGUAGAGCGGUGGACUGUAGUUGUUUGACUGCUUAUGCAAAAAGAGACAUCCAUAGGUCGCUGGUUCAAAUCCGGCUCGAAGGA
Solenopsis invicta (red fire ant) is the source of this 101-nucleotide non-coding RNA. The record is from Rfam. NCBI's taxonomy places the organism in Eukaryota, Metazoa, Arthropoda, Insecta, Hymenoptera, Formicidae.